CAGCCGCCGCGGUAAUACGAAGGGCGCAAGCGUUGUCCGGAAUUAUUGGGCGUAAAGAGCUCGUAGGCGGUCUGUCGCGUCUGGUGUGAAAUCCCGAGGCUCAACCUCGGGCUUGCAUCGGGUACGGGCAGACUAGAGUGCGGUAGGGGAGACUGGAAUUCCUGGUGUAGCGGUGGAAUGCGCAGAUAUCAGGAGGAACACCGAUGGCGAAGGCAGGUCUCUGGGCCGCAACUGACGCUGAGGAGCGAAAGCAUGGGGAGCGAACAGGAUUAGAUACCCCCGUAGUCCCUGUCUCUUAUAC
Molecule: ribosomal RNA, 301 nt
Filed under: uncultured bacterium
Lineage: Bacteria
Description: partial 16S ribosomal RNA
Rfam family: Bacterial small subunit ribosomal RNA
Source: RNAcentral